GGACCCGCACAAGCAGUGGAGUAUGUGGUUUAAUUCGAAGCAACGCGAAGAACCUUACCGGGGCUUGACAUCCCUCUGACAGGUAUAGAGAUAUACCUUUCCUUCGGGACAGAGGAGACAGGUGGUGCAUGGUUGUCGUCAGCUCGUGUCGUGAGAUGUUGGGUUAAGUCCCGCAACGAGCGCAACCCUUGUCGUUAGUUGCCAUCAUUAAGUUGGGCACUCUAGCGAGACUGCCGGUGACAAAUCGGAGGAAGGUGGGGACGACGUCAAAUCAUCAUGCCCCUUAUGUCCCGGGCUACACACGUACUACAAUGGCCAUUACAGAAGGAAGCGAAGCCGCAAGGCGGAGCAAAUCCCCAAAGAUGGUCCCAGUUCGGAUUGUGGGCUGCAACUCGCCCACAUGAAGUAGGAAUUGCUAGUAAUUGCAGGUCAGCAUACUGCAGUGAAUACGUUCCCGGGUCUU
This 463-nucleotide ribosomal RNA is filed under the name uncultured bacterium. RNAcentral's name for it is "bacterial SSU rRNA". It matches the Rfam family "Bacterial small subunit ribosomal RNA", at positions 917 to 1382 of the family's 1533-position model. The record is from RNAcentral.